This 684-nucleotide ribosomal RNA is filed under the name uncultured ciliate. RNAcentral describes it as "SSU rRNA". It matches the Rfam family "Eukaryotic small subunit ribosomal RNA", at positions 322 to 1030 of the family's 1831-position model. The record is from RNAcentral. Lineage: Eukaryota; Ciliophora.
UCUSGAUGGUAGUGUAUUGGACUACCAUGGCUUUCACGGGUAACGGAGGAUUAGGGUUCGAUUCCGGAGAGGGAGCCUGAGAAACGGCUACCACAUCUACGGAAGGCAGCAGGCGCGUAAAUUACCCAAUCCUGAYUCAGGGAGGUAGUGACAAGAAAUAACGGACCGAAGCUUCAUGUUUCGGGAUUGCAAUGGGUACAAUUUAAACCCCUUAACGAGGAUCAAUUGGAGGGCAAGUCUGGUGCCAGCAGCCGCGGUAAUUCCAGCUCCAAUAGCGUAUAUUAAAGUUGUUGCAGUUAAAAAGCUCGUAGUUGGACUUCUGGGAGGGUGCCAAUGUCCGCUGUUGCGAGUGCAGCGGCGCCCUUCCAUCCUUCUGUUAACGUUUCUUGGUAUUCAGUUACUGGUUUCGGGCUCAGAUAUUUUACCUUGAGAAAAUUAGAGUGUUUCAGGCAGGCUUGCGCCGGAAUACAUUAGCAUGGAAUAAUAGAAUAGGACUUUAGUCUCUCUUGUUGGUUUAGGGACUGAAGUAAUGAUUAAUAGGGAUAGUUGGGGGCAUUAGUAUUUAAUUGUCAGAGGUAAAAUUCUCGGAUUUGUUAAAGACUAACUUAUGCGAAAGCAUUUGCCAAGGAUGUUUUCAUUAAUCAAGAACGAAAGUUAGGGGAUCAAAGACGAUCAGAUACCGUC